CCAGUAGCUCAGUCGGAUAGAGCAACGGCCUUCUAAGCCGUAGGUCGGGGGUUCGAAUCCCUCCUGGU
Molecule: transfer RNA, 68 nt
Filed under: chicken gut metagenome
Rfam family: tRNA
About the family: Transfer RNA (tRNA) molecules are approximately 80 nucleotides in length.
Source: RNAcentral